This 253-nucleotide ribosomal RNA is filed under the name uncultured bacterium. RNAcentral describes it as "partial 16S ribosomal RNA". It matches the Rfam family "Bacterial small subunit ribosomal RNA", at positions 524 to 776 of the family's 1533-position model. The record is from RNAcentral.
UACGUAGGGCGCAAGCGUUGUCCGGAAUUAUUGGGCGUAAAGAGCUCGUAGGCGGCCAGUUGCGUCUGCUGUGAAAUCCCGGGGCUCAACCCCGGGCGUGCAGUGGAUACGGGCUGGCUAGAGGCAGGCAGGGGAGAACGGAAUUCCCGGUGUAGCGGUGAAAUGCGCAGAUAUCGGGAGGAACACCGGUGGCGAAGGCGGUUCUCUGGGCCUGUACUGACGCUGAGACGCGAAAGCGUGGGGAGCGAACAGG